UUAUCGGUAAGGUUAACCGCCAUGUUAAGACACAGUAUUUUAACCACUGCGUGCCAAUUUCUACAGAAAAACUCACAACAAACAAGGGCUUCUAAUCAUUAGGGUUGCAUGCUAGCACCCCAUAUAGCUAGUGUGCUUCUGGAACUCCGGUCAGGAUAUGGAUGUAAAUUUUAUCCUAACCAUGAACCCUCAGCAGCUGUCACAGUUCCUUCUCAGCAAGGAUAUUUCUCAACAAGGACGAAGAUCCAUUGAAGAAUCUCAGUGUCGCAUGGCUAUGUUUUAUGCCAACUGCCCAAGAAGGCAGAUAUUAAAGAUUCUAUUCAGUAUAUUCCUUGACCGCUUUAGCAUCGAACCAUCAAGCGUCACGAAUAUUUUCUAGUGAAGCAGAAGACGGUCGAAACAACAAUUGUCGCCUGAUG
Priapulus caudatus is the source of this 419-nucleotide long non-coding RNA. RefSeq lists it as uncharacterized. The record is from RefSeq and is a predicted model, not a curated record. Lineage: Eukaryota; Metazoa; Priapulida; Priapulimorpha; Priapulimorphida; Priapulidae. The transcript is spliced from 3 exons.